AGGCAAGAUGUGUUAAGUAGGCCUACCCUGCUGCGCAGGUAGUUGCCACUUAACGCUCUACCUUAUUCGCAGCCUUCGGCGCUCAACGUAUCCUUGCUCUGCGAGGCU
Shewanella benthica KT99 is the source of this 108-nucleotide non-coding RNA. The record is from Rfam. NCBI's taxonomy places the organism in Bacteria, Pseudomonadati, Pseudomonadota, Gammaproteobacteria, Alteromonadales, Shewanellaceae.